GAUGAACGCUGGCGGCGUGCCUAAUACAUGCAAGUCGAGCGAACGGACGAGAAGCUUGCUUCUCUGAUGUUAGCGGCGGACGGGUGAGUAACACGUGGAUAACCUACCUAUAAGACUGGGAUAACUUCGGGAAACCGGAGCUAAUACCGGAUAAUAUUUUGAACCGCAUGGUUCAAAAGUGAAAGACGGUCUUGCUGUCACUUAUAGAUGGAUCCGCGCUGCUUUAGCUAGUUGGUAAGGUAACGGCUUACCAAGGCAACGAUGCAUAGCCGACCUGAGAGGGUGAUCGGCCACACUGGAACGGAGACACGGUCCAGACUCCUACGGGAGGCAGCAGUAGGGAAUCUUCCGCAAUGGGCGAAAGCCUGACGGAGCAACGCCGCGGGAGUGAUGAAGGUCUUCGGAUCGUAAAACUCUGUUAUAAGGGAAGAACAUAUGUGUAAGGAACUGUGCACAACGUGACGGUACCUAAUCAGAAAGCCACGGCUAACUACGUG
RNAcentral lists this ribosomal RNA (497 nucleotides) under uncultured bacterium. Its description in RNAcentral is "partial 16S ribosomal RNA". It matches the Rfam family "Bacterial small subunit ribosomal RNA", at positions 28 to 507 of the family's 1533-position model. The record is from RNAcentral.